UACGGAGGGUGCGAGCGUUAUCCGGAAUUACUGGGUUUAAAGGGUGCGUAGGCGGCUUGUUAAGUCAGGAGUGAAAGUUUGCGGCUCAACCGUAAAAUUGCUUUUGAUACUGGCAGGCUAGAAUCAGGAUGAGGUCAGCGGAAUGUGGCAUGUAGCGGUGAAAUGCAUAGAUAUGCCAUAGAACACCAAUUGUGAAGGCAGCUGGCUAGACCUGGAUUGACGCUGAGGCACGAAAGCGUGGGGAGCGAACAGG
Molecule: ribosomal RNA, 253 nt
Filed under: uncultured bacterium
Lineage: Bacteria
Description: partial 16S ribosomal RNA
Rfam family: Bacterial small subunit ribosomal RNA
Source: RNAcentral